RNAcentral lists this ribosomal RNA (583 nucleotides) under uncultured rumen bacterium. RNAcentral describes it as "bacterial SSU rRNA". It matches the Rfam family "Bacterial small subunit ribosomal RNA", at positions 903 to 1482 of the family's 1533-position model. The record is from RNAcentral.
AAGGAAUUGACGGGCACCCGCACAAGCGGUGGAGCAUGCUGUUUAAUUCGAUGCUACGCGAAGAACCUUACCUGGGCUUGACAUCCCAAUGAAAGUUUUUAGAAAUAAGAAUCCUCUCCUUCGGGAGACAUUGGUGACAGGUGGUGCAUGGUUGUCGUCAGCUCGUGUCGUGAGGUGUUCGGUUAAGUCCGAUAACGAGCGCAACCCUUUUCCUUAAUUGCUAACAUUUAGUUGAGAACCUUAAGGAUACUGCCGGUGAUAAACCGGAGGAAGGUGGGGAUGACGUCAAAUCAUCAUGCCCCUUACGUCCAGGGCUACAGGCGUGCUACAAUGGCUGGUAUAAUAAGAUGCAAUACCGUGAGGUGGAGCAAAUCUCCAAAACCAGUCCCAGUCCGGAUUGGAGUCUGCAACUCGACUCCAUGAAGUUGGAAUCGCUAGUAAUCCCAAAUCAGAAUGUUGGGGUGAAUACGUUCCCGGGUGUUGUACACACCGCCCGUCACGCCAUGGGAGUCGAUAAUACCCGAAGCUGGUAGCCUAACCUUUUAGGAGGGGGCCAUCUAAGGUAGGAUCGGUGACUGGGGUG